UUCCCGAAUUCAUAAGAGCUACUCAUAUUAUUGUAAUUACUACUUAAAAUUUGAAAUGAAACGUUAAUAUAUCUGGUUUUCUAAGAAAAUUAAAUUUUAUUAUUUUUCUGGGGAUAAGCUUAGAAUAGGAUUAGAAGUUUUAUUAUAUUUAAUUUAUUAGAAUAAUUAAUUAAAUUUUUUUUGUAAUUAUGAUUAUAUUAGUAUAAGGUUGGUUUAAGGAACUCGGCAAUAAUUUUCCACCUGUUUAUUAAAAACAUGUCCUUUAGUAAAAAAUUUAAGGUCUAGCCUGCCCUAUGAGGCCGCGGUAUUUUGACCGUGCAAAGGUAGCAUAAUAAUUAGUUUCUUAAUUAGAAGCUGGAAUGAAUGGCUGAAUGAGAAAAUUACUGUCUCUUACCAAUAGAAUUUUAUUUUUGAGUAAGAAAGCUCAAAUUAAUUUAAAAGACGAGAAGACCCUAUAGAGUUUAAUUUUUAUUGGGGCGAUAAAAAAAUUAAAUAAACUUUUGAUUAAAAGAAAAAAUUACCUUAGGGAUAACAGCGUAAUCUUUCUAAGAGUUCAUAUCAAAAGAAAGGUUUGCGACCUCGA
RNAcentral lists this ribosomal RNA (583 nucleotides) under Laodemonax forticornis. RNAcentral describes it as "partial large subunit ribosomal RNA". The stretch from base 209 to 428 matches the Rfam family "Archaeal large subunit ribosomal RNA", at positions 1787 to 2143 of the family's 2987-position model. Lineage: Eukaryota; Metazoa; Arthropoda; Insecta; Coleoptera; Cerambycidae. The record is from RNAcentral.